GAGUUUGAUCCUGGCUCAGGGUGAACGCUAGCGGCAGGCUUAACACAUGCAAGUCGAACGGUAACAGAGAAGAGCUUGCUCUUUUGCUGACGAGUGGCGCACGGGUGCGUAACGCGUAUACAAUCUACCUUUUACAGGGGUAUAGCCUUUAGAAAUGAAGAUUAACACCCCAUAGUAUCUAAUUAUCUCAUGGUAUUUAGAUUAAAACUUCGGUGGUAAAAGAUGAGUAUGCGUUCUAUUAGCUAGAUGGUAAGGUAACGGCUUACCAUGGCGACGAUAGAUAGGGGCCCUGAGAGGGGGAUCCCCCACACUGGUACUGAGACACGGACCAGACUCCUACGGGAGGCAGCAGUGAGGAAUAUUGGACAAUGGGCGAGAGCCUGAUCCAGCCAUGCCGCGUGCAGGAUGACUGCCCUAUGGGUUGUAAACUGCUUUUAUAUAGGAAGAAACCUUUCCACGUGUGGAAAGCUGACGGUACUAUAAGAAUAAGGAUCGGCUAACUCCGUGCCAGCAGCCGCGGUAAUACGGAGGAUCCAAGCGUUAUCCGGAAUCAUUGGGUUUAAAGGGUCCGUAGGUGGAUAAUUAAGUCAGAGGUGAAAUCCUGCAGCUCAACUGUAGAAUUGCCUUUGAUACUGGUUAUCUUGAAUUAUUGUGAAGUGGUUAGAAUAUGUAGUGUAGCGGUGAAAUGCAUAGAUAUUACAUAGAAUACCAAUUGCGAAGGCAGAUCACUAACAAUAUAUUGACACUGAUGGACGAAAGCGUGGGGAGCGAACAGGAUUAGAU
Molecule: ribosomal RNA, 783 nt
Filed under: uncultured bacterium
Lineage: Bacteria
Description: bacterial SSU rRNA
Rfam family: Bacterial small subunit ribosomal RNA
Source: RNAcentral